This is a long non-coding RNA of Triticum aestivum (bread wheat), 3222 nucleotides long. RefSeq lists it as uncharacterized. The transcript has 3 exons. NCBI's taxonomy places the organism in Eukaryota, Viridiplantae, Streptophyta, Magnoliopsida, Poales, Poaceae. The record is from RefSeq and is a predicted model, not a curated record.
AAAAAAAAAAAAACUCUGCCAUACCUGGUACUACGCAGGAGUGGACGAAAGGUCUUCGGCACCCACGUAAUCCUACCCCUAAAAUUAGCGCUAACCUUCUCAUCUUAUCCCAAAUUUAGCGCUAACCUCUUUGGCAGCAGAAAUCUCCUCCAAGCAAAGUGAACGUGCGUGAGGCGGCCACCGGCGAAGGAGGCCGCGCGCGAUCCCCCGGUGCGGCGGCGCCCGCAUCCCUUGCCUCUCCAGCUGCACCGGUCUUCUCCCAGAGCACGAAGUGGGCGCGCGCGGGGUGGCCGCCGGCAAACGGGGCCGCGUGCGACCCCCCGGUGCGGCGGUACCAGCUCCCCUCGCCUCUCCGGUCGCACCUGCUCCUUCCUAAGCACGACGUGAGUGCACGCAUGGCGGCCUCCGGCGAACGAGGUCGCGCGCGAGCCCGCGUCGCGGCGGCGCGGAGCCCACUGCUCCCUGCCGGUUUGAGAUCCGCACGUGCUGGCGGUGCUCGCCUAUCCGCGCGCCAGGGCGCCCACGCAGUCCCUCCUCUUCGCCGGCGUCGAGCGCUACCGCAUCCUAGAGUGUCUUCUUUCGAGACUGCUUUGCAACAGAUCGCCGUUCACGCAAAGACUGGCAGGGGGACAGCCUCGACCGCGACGAGGAUAACAUUAGGAUCCAACAUAAGGUUCCUGGUCCACCCUUUUCGCCGCACUGAAAUAGGAACGCUUGCUUUUACCUGGUGCCGAUGGUUGGGGUUCUGCAGAGUGCAGACUUGGCGGAGAUCGCAUUUUUCCUCGGUAUCACGCAUCACGAUUCAGAGGUAGGCGGGUGGACCUUCUUCGUCUAAUUAUUAACUUGGUGGGAGCUAGCUGCUAUGUCGACCACCCAGAGUGAAGGUUGGUAUAACACUGAUAAUCGGUAGCUAUUUUCACUUGAACAGUUUCCAGCACUGUAAGCAGAAAGGAUUAUUUGAUGCAGAAUGUACUUUAUUGUACAGAAAGUAUUAGAUGAUGUUUUAACCUCAGUAUAUUGGGGCAUUCGAAACAUAGAUUACCUGACAAAUUGCUCCCUGGUAGUGUUGAUGAGCAGUUUGAAAAGGGUGUACAACUUGUAGAUUCCAUUGCAGAGAAACAGGCAUAAAAAAUUUCAGAAGAGUGCAAGCUUUUUCCUGCUGCUGUCCAAAUACAAUCAAUUAACCAACUGUAAGUGCACCCAAUUCGAUGUUCUUGUCAAUUGUAUUAUUUAGAAGCGCAGCUUCUAAGCACACAUAUAAUUCUGAAAUGGUAUGAAUCUAUGUUGCUGUCUUCAACCCCCAGAUUACAAGCAAUUUCAAGAACCACCACCAUUUCAGUGUGAGCUUAGAAUAAAUAUAGUAUGUGUGUUUAAAAAUCUUCCCUUUAUGAUUGUUUAGAAAUCUAGAGUAUCAAGACUGUUCUAUUUCUACAGGCUUUUUUAGUAUCAUGUAUAAAGAAUGGCAUGCAUAUUUUGGAGUAAUUACAGUGCAUAGCUGGUUAGUUUAGUUCAGAAAGGGGAGAACCAUAAGGAGUUGUUACAAUUUAAAUCUUUGCUCAGUUUCUUCUUUAGCUCAUUUCAUUUGACUUUUGUACAACCAAAUCAGAAGCUUGGAUGAUGUCAGGUUGAAUCUCGAGGUUCUCAAGCAUUUUUUAUGGUAGUCCCUGUAAUCUAAGUAAAAAGUUUUAGAUGUUUGUGAUGGUCUUGAGCAUAGGUCUUUACAAGGGUCUGGUAGCAGUUCUUCUGAUUGGAGGCCCUUCAUAAAGAACUAGCAGCAUGGUUCUUUAAAAUUACCGGGAUAAGAUAGUUAUAAUAAUCUUUGGCAGUAUCAAAACUAUAAUUAAAACCACACUACAUUUAUUUGUUUCCGCUAUAUUUAAAUUCUUUUCUGAUUCCAGCUUGUUAGUGUUGUUGCAGACUAUUGGUUGUUACAUAUUUCAAAUCACUUCGGCUAAUCAUGUACAUAUAUUUCCAGCUUAUGUACUUUACUAUUCAAUAUAUUUUUGUUUUAAAUCACAUCUAAUAUCCUUAUAUAAUUGUAACCCACAGGUGCCUGUUGAUAGCGUCUCCCAUAUCAAGAGGCUUGAAACCAAUUAUUCAGUUAUCAUACAUAUAUUCAGCGUCAGAACGCUUUCUGAGUGAAUCAUUGCUAUUGACUGCUCCUUAUUACCAUGUAUAAGUAAUGAAAGGUUGUACUUAUACUCUGUCUUCAUUGCACAGGUCCAUGAGCCCAGCAUAAGGAGACAACUGAUACAACAAAACAAAGUGAACAACUUAAUCUCUUAUAUGUCUAACUAAGCAUAUAUAGAUAAUACAACAUUUAUUUGUUUUCUAUAAUUUUACUGAGCAUAUGUGUAUGAGUUUAUAGUCAGUGUGUUCCACACCCACUUUGUUUUCCUAGAAUCCCAUGCCAUUUUAUAUUUCUACAACUUGCAUGGAAGGAGUGCAGCAAAUCUAAGACCAUAACGACAUGCAUUCUAAGGAAAACAUAAUCAAACUCCUAUCACUUAAGAUACCAUUACUACUAGCGGAACAAUGGAACUGAGUGUACAUUAUCUUUCUUUCAUAGCAAUUAUCCAUGCUGAUGAAAUAUACGGCCUUCAUGUUUUGCAGAACAAUUCAGUCGAAUGUACAAAGUCGGUAACCUCAUUAUGAAAAUGGAUAACCUUGGAUGGUAAAGAAGACUUGCUUAGUCUAUUCCUUUUGCUCUGCUUACUAAUGAUGCCGGAAGAUGCAACAUACUAAUUGUUUUGUUGUAUGUGUGUGCAGCACUUUAGCUGCAGAUGCAGACCAACAUCUUUUGUUUCACUGUUAUUGCUGAAAACUGGACGUGGUGAAUGUCAGUCAAAAUUUUAUCCAUUUUUCAUUUUCUUCACAUUUUUAGUAAAAUGAGUAUUCUGAAAAGCUUAGUAAAUAUAUAAAUUGGUUUCAUAACGUUUGGAUUUUAGAGGCUUGUCAUGCACUGCAGGUUUUACAUGUUGACGAGCUGCCUUGCAUAUCAGUGAAGUUAUUGAGCCAGUGCUUGCAUACAUAUAUAUGGUUUAAUCGUAAGAACACUCUUCAUAGUUGUUUUUCAAGGCUGAGAAGGUGUUGCUGUUGGUGACAUGUGCGGAACUUCUGUUGGUGUUUAUCUUGUAAUAACUCAAUUUGAUAGCGGAAACUGAUUGAAUUAUCAAUGUACAUUUAGGCAUAGAGCAUGAGGAUGUAUGGAACUUCUGAACA